CUCUACCCCUCACCAUCAAAGCAGCGCCUCCUCUCUUCUUCUUUGUCUUCUUCUUCUUCUUCCUUCUUUCUUUUCUUUUCUUUUCUUUUCUUUCUUUUUCUUUCUUUCUUUCCUGCACCUGCGUUUGCAUCACUGCCCAAGAACUCCAGCCGCUCCAGCAAAGGUGAUCGACCACCGAGAGCCACCGCACGCAGCUCGCCGCGCCACCGCCACAGCCCCACUGCUCUCCGAUCCGACACGAGCAAAUUUUCGAUCUAGCAAAAAUUCGACAAAAAAAUAUAUUAGGGGUAUAAAUUAAUUUAACUACAUUUUCGUUAAUUAAUUUAAUUUCAUUAAUGAUUUUAGUUAGUUUAAUUCUAAUAAUUUUAGUUGAUCAAUUUGAUUUUAGUAAUCUUGAGUAAUUAAUUUAAUUUAGUAAUUUUGAUUAGUUAAAUUACUUUACUUUGGCUAGAUCUACUGACUAGUUUAAUUACUUGAGUAAUUAAAUUAAUUUAAAUAGUAUUAAUUUAUUGAUAAAUAAAAUAUUUAGUUAGUAAGUUUUAGUUAUUUAGUUAGUUUAAAAUGAAUUCAAAAUAGUUAUUGAUUCAUUAAUAUGAAGUAAUUAUUGAUUAAUAAAAAUAAUAGUUAGUUAAAAUUAAAUUCAGUAUUAAAUAAUUUAUUAGGAAAUUUUGGUAAUAAUAAAAUUUAUGGAAUUUAAGUGUAGAUUGAAGGUAGAUUAUAUUGUAUGUAAUUUUAAUUUAUAAAUUAUGGAUGUAGGGUGAUGUUAAGAUUGAAUGUAAUGUUGAUAUUGUUAUUCGGAUGGAGGAUGGGAAAAAUUGAAUUGAUUGAUUGCCCGAUGGAUGGGCCGUGUGGUUUGGAAUUAUUGAUAUAUUGUUGACAUUUUAACAGGUAGAUAGUCCAAUUUUUAAGGGAGAUGCUGCCGAAAUUUCGGUAAACAAUAAAAUAAAUUUCAGUAGAAAACAAAAUAAAUUUCGGUAGGAAAUAAAAUAGAUUUCAGAAAAAAAUAAAUGAAAUAAACUUAGAUAGAGAAAUAAAAAUUUAUUACAGAAAAGAAAUUAAAUAUCAAGAUUAAAUUACGUAGAAAAAUUUAGAAUAUAAAAUAAAAAUAUUAGAAGGGUAAAGGAAUAUUUAGUUUGAUAGAGUUAUUUCUUUUUGUAUCAUUCUUACUUUGCUUAGAUCGCCCGGGUCCAUCUAGUGCGCCUCCAGGACAACAUCAAAGCUAGAAUUUCGCUCUCCAUCACAGUGAGUAAUAAUAAAUAAUGCAUAUCAACACUGCAUUUGCAUAACAUUUAUUUAUAAACCUUAUAUUUUUAUUUAUAUAUUUACAAUAUAUUAUAAGUAUUUUAUCAUAUAUAUUAUG
RNAcentral lists this long non-coding RNA (1360 nucleotides) under Jatropha curcas. RNAcentral's name for it is "long non-coding RNA (JCUR_LNC001343)". Lineage: Eukaryota; Viridiplantae; Streptophyta; Magnoliopsida; Malpighiales; Euphorbiaceae. The record is from RNAcentral.